This is a long non-coding RNA of Musa acuminata AAA Group (dessert banana), 924 nucleotides long. RefSeq lists it as uncharacterized. The transcript has 3 exons. The record is from RefSeq and is a predicted model, not a curated record. NCBI's taxonomy places the organism in Eukaryota, Viridiplantae, Streptophyta, Magnoliopsida, Zingiberales, Musaceae.
AUUCAGACGUUAGCACAAUAAGACAUUAGCAUAGCUUUAGAGCGAGAAAGAGCAUUUACAAGACACCAUUAUCUCAUGAGCCAUCUUAUGAACAAUGGAUCAGCCGCGAACUGCGCUCGCCAAAUUGCUUGCUUUGUCAUGCGGCGGCUCCUCUCCACCGGGGCCAUGUCUUCCUCUGCCCCUUAUUCGUCGUUCCUACCAGGUAAAAACCCUAGCUCGAUCCGCCUCACGCAUCAGCGGCGACUCAAUGGUGUUCGUUUCUCUUUUCCCACCCGCUUCGUCGUCGUCGGUUCUUCCAUACGCUGCCUUGCCUCCUUCUCACCGGCCGAGCGAAUCAAAGUCCACAACCCCAUCGUUGAGAUGGAUGGUGAACCACAUCCCCCUAGUGUGUGUGUGUUUGCUGUUUUUUUUUUUUUGCUCUCUUGGUUCUUUUCCCGCUUUCAAACGCUUAUUCUUCUCUCCUCGGUACGUUCUAUCGAUAUCUACUUCUUUUUUUUCAAUUCAGAAAAAAAAAGAGGUUAAAACCCUACCUAUCUGAUGUACAUAAAAACUUUUUGAUGUCUUCUCAGGCGAUGAGAUGACGAGGGUCAUCUGGAGGAUUCCAGAUGAUAAAAGAAAAGCUAAUUUUUCCAUUUCUCGAAUUGGACAUCAAGUACUUCGAUCUGGGCCUCUUGAGUCGUGAUGCCACCGACGAUCGGGUAACCGUUGAAAGUGCCGAGGCAACUCUCAAGUUACCUACCACGACCUUCUUUAUAGUAGCACUUCCCCUUCCUCCUUCCACUUAAAUGAUUUAUUGUGUUUUCUUACAGUGAUAAACUGAAUACCAAUUUGUGUAUAAUUAAUGUUCGUGCAUAUACGAAACUUGCUUUACCAUUUUGUACAUGCUUGUAUCGAUUGGUGUAUUCAAUCUUCCAUUUCACCGGA